GAUGAACGCUGGCGGUAUGCUUAACACAUGCAAGUCGAACGGACUCUUCGGAGUUAGUGGCGGACGGGUGAGUAACGCGUGAGAAUCUGGCUUUGGGUUCGGGACAACCACUGGAAACGGUGGCUAAUACCGGAUGUGCCGAGAGGUAAAAGAGAAAUUGCCAGAAGAUGAGCUCGCGUCUGAUUAGCUAGUUGGUGAGGUAAAGGCUCACCAAGGCAGCGAUCAGUAGCUGGUCUGAGAGGAUGACCAGCCACACUGGGACUGAGACACGGCCCAGACUCCUACGGGAGGCAGCAGUGGGGAAUUUUCCGCAAUGGGCGAAAGCCUGACGGAGCAAUACCGCGUGAGGGAAGAAGGCUCUUGGGUUGUAAACCUCUUUUCUUAGGGAAGAACAAAAUGACGGUACCUAAGGAAUCAGCAUCGGCUAACUCCGUG
This 435-nucleotide ribosomal RNA is filed under the name uncultured bacterium. RNAcentral describes it as "partial 16S ribosomal RNA". It matches the Rfam family "Bacterial small subunit ribosomal RNA", at positions 28 to 507 of the family's 1533-position model. The record is from RNAcentral.